UUUGCAUCGGCAAGUCUUAUACGACCAGCUCCUUCUAAUCCUCCAGGGUGGGAACACAGCAAAGGUACGAAGUUGUAGCGGUGCGAUAUAAGUAACUUGCCUUUUU
Non-coding RNA from Bacteroidetes bacterium OLB11, 106 nucleotides. The record is from Rfam. NCBI's taxonomy places the organism in Bacteria, Pseudomonadati, Bacteroidota.